This 872-nucleotide long non-coding RNA is filed under the name Homo sapiens (human). RNAcentral's name for it is "HSALNT0035812". The record is from RNAcentral. Lineage: Eukaryota; Metazoa; Chordata; Mammalia; Primates; Hominidae.
CGGCUCCGGCGGGUCUUCAGGCUACGGGUUCAGCCAGGCGCCAGCCGCGUUCUCUGGAGACGCUCUCUCUCGGAGGGACCCUGCACUUGCCUGAACUCGAGAGUGGGCGCUGCCCGAAGUUCUAGGGGAUGUAUGUGCCAUCCAUCGCAUCCCCACAAGUGCAAUCUCCAGCCUGUGCCCUGAGGUCACUUCCCGCAUCACCCCAUCACCAUCAGGGCCUGUUCUCACUGCCUUCUGCUGUCCCCACAAGACUUGAAUUUCCUGACAGCAGGAACUGCGGCCUCUUCCGUGUGGACUCAAGAUGCAACUGUGCCCUGUGUGUGGAAGGUGUUUAAUAAAUGGAGAAUGGCACCUGCCUUGCCUAGAGCUGGGAACACAGCGCUUGGAAGGCGUGGGGAGUGAAGGUCAAAGCCUCGCCCGAAGCAAAGACGCAAUGAUUAGGCUCAGGGAGGGCGAAGCACUGUGCAGCCUCGGGAGCCUGGGAGGUGGCUGUGAACUUGAAGGACGGUGUUGGUGUUCCUGAGGGUUCGGGGCCACGGGGCACAGGUUAGGGACCACAGAGUCCCUAGAGAGUGCAGAAACGUCUCCACCUCCCUGGGGCAGGCCGUGGUCCUGCCAAAGUCCAGGUCUGUGAGCCUCAUUUAUCUGCAAGGGUCUCCUUCCGUGGGCUCCUGGAAGGCCGCUGUCUCCUGCCUUCCGGACCCGACAGGGGCCUGUGAAGGGUGUGAGUGGGGUUCGCAAGCUGUCUUCGGUCCGGUCCGGAAAGCCUAGCGGGUCACGUGCAGGCUUCUUAGGAGCGCCCCGGGGAAUUAGGCCGGGGCACGCGUCAUGCCUGUCCCCAGCACCCAGCUUGGUGCACUCGGUGCGCUCGU